UCACACAAAAUCCCCAAAUUGAAGAAAUAAUCCCUAGAUCGUCUCUCUCUCAUUCUCGGUUCUCGGCGUCAGAUCGGAGAUCCGAUGUCGCAGCGUAUCUCCUCGCCGUCCUCGACAAGAGCUGCAGGCGCGCCACCGUCUCGUCGCCGUCGCCGGCGCCGGCAUCUCUCUCGUCCACACUAGCCUUGGCAGCCGGCAUCCAGCGGCUGUCCCGCCGUCGCAGUCCAGCCGAGCAGCGGUGCUCCUCCAGGAGACUCGCCGUCGCGGUUGCUGCAGUGACCGCACCGCCUGUCGCCGUUUACUACUCCUCCGAUGAGAAACUCGAGUCCGUCGAUGUAUAGAGAUGAGUUCUCCUAACUUCCUUCUCGCAUUUUCGCCAGAAACAGUUGCUCUUUACAGCUUGAUUUUAUUGAAGAACAUGAGUCUUAUUCGUGUGUGGAUUUUUGGUGAUUUAUGGAUCAAUUCCUUUAAUUGGAUGUUUUCAAUCAAAAGCUACUGUAAUUUGUGAACUAUUUGAAGUUCUAAACAUGAAAGGAUAUAAGAACUGAAGUUGUUGAGCUAUGGCUACAACUACUGAUUUUAUCAUUUGAUUACUGGGCAUUUUGUUUGGAAAGAAAAUUAUUAGAAUAAAAGGUGCUAUUGUUCUAUCAAUUUAUUUCUAGUAUGCUGUGUACAUGAAGUGUUGAUUUUCUAAACAUGUUUGAUAAGAAAUUGUGGUGAAAGGGUUUACUUUGAUGCUUCCUCUGUUGUUAAAAGAAAAUCACAGCAACUUCUCCACCAAGCUUCACCCUCUCACUUGGUUUCUCUUUGGGAUUAAUUGGAAGUGGUGAAGGAAAAAAGUGUGAAACUGAAAUGAGAUAUAUGUGUUCAUAUAUAUUGGAAUCUGGUUGGGGAUGUGGUCAAAACUGAAAAUCUGCAGCCUCUUGUCUUUUGUUGAGGAGUUGAUGGCUGUUAUUUGUAGUACAUGGUGUGUUCUCGUGGUAUUAAAAGAGGCUGAUCUCCUCUUUUGUUUUUCUCACUGCAGCAAGAUCUCUUUGAUGAUCUCCAUCCUACUUUUGUUUAAUUUGUUUUGUUUUUAGUCUGGAGUAAAAGCACUCUUGCAUUUAUACACUUUGUCUGAUUAUUGUAGGUACAUAAGAGAGAGACGGCUCAUGGGAAGAGAGUGUAGGGGCUGACUUGCCCUUUUUAGGGAGGCUCUAGCUGCAUUAUAGCUAAAACAAGCCUUGGAAAAAGGAUUGGGCUGCCGAGCGGGCCUUCCGAGGCAUGGGCCUGCCCCUGGCCCAUCGGGCUGCUUCUUCAAAACAUCAGGCCAAAGACUCUUGGGCUCGAAAGAGAGGCCCAACAUUCACAUAUUUGUAUUCUUAAAUUCUCUCUCAUCAACUUGUGCGUAAUUUAUUUUGUAACUAGAGAGUAGCUUGAUAUGUAUUUGAACAUUCUAAAUCAGAAAUGUAACCCCAUAUUAUUUAUUGA
This is a long non-coding RNA of Salvia hispanica, 1470 nucleotides long. RefSeq lists it as uncharacterized. Lineage: Eukaryota; Viridiplantae; Streptophyta; Magnoliopsida; Lamiales; Lamiaceae. The record is from RefSeq and is a predicted model, not a curated record.